UGGAAGAAGCCAAUCCGAAAAGGCUACAUAAUGAGUGAUUGUAACUAUGUGACAUUCUGGAGAAGACAAAACCGGUAAGAUGAUCAGUGGUUGCCAGGGAGUCGCGGGGAGGGAGGAAUGGGCGGGAGGAGCACAGAGGAUUCUGAGGGCAGUGAAACUACUCUGCAUCAUACUGUAAUGCUGGAUACAGGUCGUCGUAUAUUUGUUCAGACCCAUAUCAUGUACAGCUGUGGCCUAAAUGAGCAACAUACGUUUGUGGAAGGAGUAAAGAGUGGGCCGUGCUCCAGUUCGUGGCUUCCCCUCACUUCCUGUAUCAUUAGCGAUGCCGCGUGCCCACGCCACCUGUUGCCAAGCACGCUACCAAGUGCGUUCCUUCCGCACACCUCAGUUCUUCGCGACGGUUCUCACCAGUCGGGAUUAUUGCUCCCAUUUGCCGCAGAUGAAGUCACUGAGGUGGAGAAUUUCCGCUUCCAACGCAAUGAUCCAUAUGGCGGGUCGAGCGUCCCGAAAAUAUUUGUCCGCCACAACUCCACUAGAUCUUGGAUUAAUUACAGCAGGGAUUUUUGUCUGCAUUGCAUUGCUGAAGUCACAAGGGAGUAAAUGAAACCGUGAAAGUCAUUCAUACACAUAAGAAUGAACGGUGGAUUGAGACCAAAACAGUGAACGUUAAUAAGGAAUAGAAACUGGGGCUGCCCUGGUGGCAAAGGAUGAUAACAGGAAUCCAGAGUUUGGGGGGUUAAUAACUAGGAGAAAAAUAAGAGGCCCUCAUGAAGGGGGAGUAUCAAAAACUGAGACCUCUGCACUAAUCUGGGACCUCGGAAGGUGGCUAUGCCCUUGAUAAAAGGGAGGGAUAGAAAGAGACUGUGGAAAGCAAUGAGUCUUCACCCUGGUUAUGGGAUAAUGAUGAUGGUGGUGGUGAUGCUGAUGGUGAUGGCAAUGAUGGUGACGCUGAUGGUGAUGGGGAUGAUAGUGAUGAUGAUAUGAUGGUGGUGAUGAUGGUGAUGGUGAUGGUGGUGAUGGGGAUGGGGAUGGGGAUGAUGGUGAUGAUGAUAUGACGGUGGUGAUGGUAGUGAUAAUGGUGAUGACGAUGGGGAAGAUGAUGAUGAUGGCGGUGAUGAGGUUGAUGAUUGCAGUCCUUGAGAAUUCACACCCAUAUGCCCACUCUUGUAUAGCUCCAGAGUUUCCGUUUUUCCAAGAGGUGAGAGAAAUCCCCAGCAGAAAAAUUAAACCUAAGUGUUCUCAGAUUAAUUUUACCUCCAUGGAACCUAGUAGGGGCUAACAUAAAUAAUCUCAAGGCAAAAGCAGUCCCAAUUUAGACUCCUCAGGGUUCUCCCAGAUUAAAUUCAACCAAAGACAAGCUCUCACAAACACAAAACAUGCAAGCAAGGAAGCCACCAUGAGUAACUAUCUGUAGAAACCACCAUUCAGAUUUGGAUCUCCCUAGGACUUUAGACAAUGAAAUUAUCGAAUAUAGGUAUUUUUAUUUAUUUAUUUUAACAUUUAUUCAUUUUUGAGAGAGAGACAGAGUGCGAUUUGCAGGGGGAGGGGGGGAGGGUAGAGAGAGAGGGAGACACAGAAUCCGAAGCAGGCUCCAGGCUCCGAGCUGUCAGCACAGAGCCCGACUUGGGGCUCAAACCCGUGAACCGCGAGAUCAUGACCCAAGCCAAAGUCGGCCACUUAACCAACUGAGCCACCCAGGCGCCCCCGAGUACCGGUAUUUUUAAAAGUGUUAUUGGUUUUUUGCUUCCAGCCUUGAUGGAGUAACAAGUACUGGACUAUCUCUCCUGCUUUUAAACAACAGAAAGCUGGACAAAAUAAACAGGACAACUAUUUUCAGGUGCUGGACGACAGACAGUGCAGGACUGUGGUCUCCGAGAGAAGGGGGGCAAGGUGAGCUGUAUGCUCACCCAGCGCUUCUUCCGGAAGGCAUCACUAUGCUUGGCAGAAAGGAGGACCCCAGGCAGAAUACACUAAUGUCACUGAGCCGAGGCAGAGCCCAGAGCCCGAGAAGCGGAGGCAGCAGGAAUUUAUAAAUCAGAGCGACCAUGUGACCCAGCAAGUCCCCUCCUCGUGGUAUGCCCAAGAGAAUUAAAAACGUAUGUCCACACAAAAAUUUGUGCACGAAUGUCCAGGGCAGUCAGUGUUCGCCAGUGACAGGGUGAUGGGGAUGAUCACAAAAGUCCAUGAGACAACUUUUUUGGAGCGGAGGAAUGUACAGAAAAAAGAAACAAGGCUCUAUUCCCCACCCCCAUCAAAUAAGCGAAGGAAGGAGCCCUAACACACCUGCUACCAGAUUCCUGUGGAAUGAACUUGGUGGCUGUCUGCAGUGCCCAUGACCACCAGCAGGUGGCACUCUGUCUUGCACGCAUCUGCCCUUUGCAGGGCCAUCUUGUCUCCACGUAUGCCUCUGAUCUCUCUAGGCAGAUAGAGGAGGCUGGUGUGGAGGCUGUGAGUAUAAUCCCCUGUGACGGUCACCUUGGAGUGACGCCGCAGAGAGGAGACGACCGGUCCCCAUGCUUCUUGCCUGGUCACGGGCCAGAGCACGGCGGCUGAAAUAUGGCGAGAGGACUUUUGAGCACAUUUUCCAUAAGAGGCGUCUUCUUGACCUGUGACGUGUCCACAUGGUGUUAAAACAAUGACAAGAAGGGGCUGGGAGAAGCUGAGAGAGGGCAAGACCCUGGGCCCCGUGGACCCACACGGCCUUCCUCUGUGCUUACGCCCCACUCGGCAAAGGCCCAGGUGGUACCCUACAGCCUUGUCCGAUCACCCCCGGGCUCAUGCUGCCCCGUCUUGGAACCUAGCCACCCGUCUGCCAAGCCCUGGCAAAGUCAGUUUUGCCUAUCCUGUGCCUGGUAGGUCUGCUUUCCUUCUUUUCCUUUGCCAAAAGAGUGAUGAAUCCAAGGCCCCAAAGGCCAAUCCCCAGCUAGCACUGCUUAUGGCCCCAGUGUGGAGAGAUGGAAUGUCUGGGAUUUAGUGGGUCUUUUCUUCUUACCAGAUGUUCUAGAAAGCUCUCCAAACACUUUUGUUCUGACAGUGCCAGAAGGGACUUCAACCCUAUUGUCCAUAAUUGUUGGAGAUGGAACAUUCCAACACCCAUUGGAGAAAGAGGCAGCUCGGGACAUCACACCAGGCUGAGCUGUGAACUAGUCACCUCCUAGGGUUCCCAUCUUGGGCUCAACAAAUGUGCCUUUGUUGACUGGACGUCCAGUGGGAACUCGCGGAGCCUUAGGACGGGGCUGACACUUCCCCAGGGUGAGAACUGGUUCAAGCCAACCAUCAUCAAGGUGACUCUGUCCUUGGCUGGCUCAUGCGGUAAGUGGCCCAGAAUGGCCUUUUGGCUCCAGGGCCACCACUGGUGAGGCUGGUCUCCUCAUUCCCAACUCUGAUUCGUGACUGGGGAGUCUGAUUAGACCCGGUGGUCCUUUAAAAUGGACAGCCUUGGGGCGCCUGGGUGGCGCAGUCGGUUAAGCGUCCGACUUCAGCUCAGGUCACGAUCUCAC
RNAcentral lists this long non-coding RNA (3500 nucleotides) under Lynx pardinus (Iberian lynx). Lineage: Eukaryota; Metazoa; Chordata; Mammalia; Carnivora; Felidae. The record is from RNAcentral.